UACAGAGGGGGCAAGCGUUGUUCGGAAUUACUGGGCGUAAAGGGCGCGUAGGCGGCCUUCUAAGUCAGACGUGAAAUCCCUCGGCUCAACCGGGGAACUGCGUCUGAUACUGGGAGGCUUGAAUCCGGGAGAGGAAUGCGGAAUUCCAGGUGUAGCGGUGAAAUGCGUAGAUAUCUGGAGGAACACCGGUGGCGAAGGCGGCAUUCUGGACCGGCAUUGACGCUGAGGCGCGAAAGCCAGGGGAGCAAACGGG
This 253-nucleotide ribosomal RNA is filed under the name uncultured bacterium. RNAcentral's name for it is "partial 16S ribosomal RNA". It matches the Rfam family "Bacterial small subunit ribosomal RNA", at positions 524 to 776 of the family's 1533-position model. The record is from RNAcentral.